ACGGAGGGUGCAAGCGUUAAUCGGAAUUACUGGGCGUAAAGCGCACGCAGGCGGUUUGUUAAGUCAGAUGUGAAAUCCCCGGGCUCAACCUGGGAACUGCAUCUGAUACUGGCAAGCUUGAGUCUCGUAGAGGGGGGUAGAAUUCCAGGUGUAGCGCCCAAAUGCGGAGAGAUGAGGAGGAAUACCGGUGGCGAAGGCAGCCAACAGGACGAAGUCUCACGCUCAGGUGCGCAAGCGUGUACAACAAACAG
Molecule: ribosomal RNA, 251 nt
Filed under: uncultured prokaryote
Description: partial 16S rRNA
Rfam family: Bacterial small subunit ribosomal RNA
Source: RNAcentral